UACGUAGGGGGCGAGCGUUGUCCGGAUUUAUUGGGCGUAAAGAGCUCGUAGGCGGUUUGGUAAGUCGGGUGUGAAAUCUCCACGCUCAACGUGGAGGGGCCACUCGAUACUGCCAUGACUCGAGUCCGGUAGAGGAGUGUGGAAUUCCCGGUGUAGCGGUGAAAUGCGUAGAUAUCCGGAGGAACACCGGUGGCGAAGGCGACAUCCUGGACCGGUAUUGACGCUGAGGCGCGAAAGCCAGGGGAGCAAACGGG
This 254-nucleotide ribosomal RNA is filed under the name uncultured bacterium. RNAcentral's name for it is "partial 16S ribosomal RNA". It matches the Rfam family "Bacterial small subunit ribosomal RNA", at positions 524 to 776 of the family's 1533-position model. The record is from RNAcentral.